AGCUGGUCUGAGUGCAGUGAUGUUUACAACUAAUUGAUCACAGCCAGUUACAGUUCUUUUGUUCUUUCUCCAUUCCCACUGCUUCAUUUGACUAGCCUAAA
RNAcentral lists this Y RNA (101 nucleotides) under Microcebus murinus (gray mouse lemur). RNAcentral's name for it is "Y RNA (ENSMICG00000043753.1)". It matches the Rfam family "Y RNA". Rfam says of the family: Y RNAs are components of the Ro ribonucleoprotein particle (Ro RNP), in association with Ro60 and La proteins. The Y RNAs and Ro60 and La proteins are well conserved, but the function of the Ro RNP is not known. In humans the RNA component can be one of four small RNAs -- hY1, hY3, hY4 and hY5. The record is from Rfam by way of RNAcentral. Lineage: Eukaryota; Metazoa; Chordata; Mammalia; Primates; Cheirogaleidae.